GAAUGUGAGAGUGACAUCUGUCACCCCAUUAAUUGUCAGUAUUGAUUCUACUGGUCUGGAUAGCUAGGCAGUUGUCUCCCUUCUUCCCUCACAGCUCCAUGAGCAUCCUUCCUGAAGCUGCCUGCUGACUCAGGGAGGAUGACCUUCCCAGAUUGAGGAAGAACAUCUUUCCAUCUUUCCAUCUGCUAGUGUCUCUAAAUAAACUCUCAUUUUGUUAAAACAGGCACCAUGGUCGCUCGGAGGAUCUACUGUUUCCAUAAAACUAAUUGAAUAACUGUUCAACUCCAUAUUUCUCCACCUUUGAUGGGU
Non-coding RNA from Mesocricetus auratus (golden hamster), 309 nucleotides. NCBI's taxonomy places the organism in Eukaryota, Metazoa, Chordata, Mammalia, Rodentia, Cricetidae. The record is from Rfam.